This 253-nucleotide ribosomal RNA is filed under the name uncultured bacterium. Its description in RNAcentral is "partial 16S ribosomal RNA". It matches the Rfam family "Bacterial small subunit ribosomal RNA", at positions 524 to 776 of the family's 1533-position model. The record is from RNAcentral.
GACGUAGGGCGCAAGCGUUGUCCGGAUUUAUUGGGCGUAAAGAGCUCGUAGGCGGCUUGUUGCGUCGUCCGUGAAAACCCGUGGCUCAACUGCGGGCUUGCGGACGAUACGGGCAGGCUGGAGUUCGGUAGGGGAGACUGGAAUUCCUGGUGUAGCGGUGGAAUGCGCAGAUAUCAGGAGGAACACCGGUGGCGAAGGCGGGUCUCUGGGCAGUAACUGACGCUGAGGAGCGAAAGCGUGGGGAGCGAACAGG